This 492-nucleotide ribosomal RNA is filed under the name uncultured bacterium. RNAcentral describes it as "partial 16S ribosomal RNA". It matches the Rfam family "Bacterial small subunit ribosomal RNA", at positions 29 to 507 of the family's 1533-position model. The record is from RNAcentral.
AGUGAACGCUGGCGGUAUGCCUAACACAUGCAAGUCGAACGGCAGCACAGUAAGAGCUUGCUCUUACGGGUGUCGAGUGGCGGACGGGUGAGGAAUACAUCGGAAUCUACUUUUUCGUGGGUGAUAACGUAGGGAAACUUACGCUAAUACCGCAUACGACCUACGUGUGAAAGCAGGGGAUCUUCGGACCUUGCGCUAUUGAAUGAGCCGAUGUCGGAUUAGCUAGUUGGCGGGGUAAAGGCACACGUAGGCGACGAUCCGUAGCUGGUCUGAGAGGAUGAUCAGCUACAUUGGCAGUGAGAAAGGGUACCGACUCCGACGGGAGGAAGCAGCGGGGAAUAUUGGACGAUGGGGGAAAGCCUGAUCCUGCAAUACCGCGUAGGUGAAGAAGGACCUCGGGUUGUAAAGCGAUUUUGUUGGGAAAGAAAAGAAGCAGGUUAAUACGCCGCUGUUAUGACGGUACCGAAAGAAUAAGCACCGGCUAACUUCGUG